Astatotilapia calliptera (eastern happy) is the source of this 1241-nucleotide long non-coding RNA. NCBI's taxonomy places the organism in Eukaryota, Metazoa, Chordata, Actinopteri, Cichliformes, Cichlidae. The record is from Ensembl.
UGACGGCAGAGUCAGACAAGUUAAGCUUCUCAUCGGUGACUCUACUAGAGACAAUAAGGGGAAGCACACAACUAAGACGAUUUUAGAGAGACCCAUACAUAAGACUAUACUUUUACUUGAAGCAGAGUAAAGACUCAACAUAAUGUUUAUUGGUUAACCUUCGCUAAGUUCAUUGUUGGGUCAAAUUCCUUUAGGAUCACACAUGCUGUUGCGAUAGUGUGAUGGUGGGAGUGUAACAGUUGGUGAAAUGUUAGUAUUUGACCACUAGGCGGAGCUCUUGUAAUGAUAAUGUAACUAACUCAUUUUAUUUUGUAUGUUUUAUUUUUGUGUUGAGCAUGUUAACAUUUUCCUUUUUUGCCUACCGGAUUGGUGUACAGUUAAUUUGAUACAUGGAAAAUAGCCGGUUAAUUUUGUAAAUAUAAGGUAAGGGCAGAGGUCACUUCCUGUUUUGGAAAAAAGUCAGAGAAGCUGCGCAUGGUGACGGUCUAGCCGUGUAAAAGUCAAGCUAAGAAAGAAGAAAUAAGCCCUAAGUUCCAGUUACACCGGUUUGUCUACUUGCAGGCCAAAGUGUUCUACGGUGUACCUGUACGUUAAGAGAAGCACAGUAAACAUCAGUAAAGAAGAACUCUCGUGUCUCUCGUGUAUGUGUACAAGCCGGCAUAAUGGGCGUCACCUACUUAGUGAGGAGAAAAGUGGGACUGACCACCAGGGCCCUAAAUGUGAGAGACGCCCUUGCAAGACUGGAACCAAAAGUUUGUUUUUAUGACCGACCUGUCAAUACCUCAUAAAUGUGUUUUUUCUAGCUGCAAUACACUACAGGGAGCUACAGAUCUAUAUUGUCUGCCAAAACUGCUCACAAUACUAAUGAAGUAUGUAGUGUGAACGGCAAAGCAUGAGGACAGAACAAAAUGGAAACAGAUUUAAAAAUAUAUAAAAACAAAGUUAAAUGCAGUCUGUGCAAAUCUGUGCUUUUGUUCCAAAACAGCAAUAAUUCAGUGUACGAGCAUUUAAAAGGCUGAAGAAGCUUCUUGAACAAAAAGUAAAAGAUCUUCAAGAAACUUAAAGAAGUCUGGUCGCUUUUCUUUCCAAGCUUCUUAGAUUACCAUGAACCUACGCAGACAUAAACGCUGUUACUGUUUGUACAGUAAUGUUUAUGUUAGCUAUCCUGUUGGACCUUCCCAGGAUGAUGCUUGAUAAGUGAACAUCAUUACAGUUUUGUUAGUUAAUGAGUGAAAUGCAAU